This 808-nucleotide ribosomal RNA is filed under the name uncultured bacterium. RNAcentral describes it as "bacterial SSU rRNA". It matches the Rfam family "Bacterial small subunit ribosomal RNA", at positions 1 to 806 of the family's 1533-position model. The record is from RNAcentral.
GAAUUCGCCCUUAGAGUUUGAUCCUGGCUCAGGAUGAACGCUGGCGGCGUGCCUAACACAUGCAAGUCGAACGAGAUGCGUAUCGGAAAGCUUCGGCCGGAAGAUACGUUAUCUAGUGGCGGACGGGUGAGUAACACGUGGGUAACCUGCCUUAUGAAGGGGGAUAACAGAGAGAAAUCACUGCUAAUACCGCAUAAGCACACAUUGCCGCAUGGCAGAGUGUGAAAAGAUUUAUCGCCAUAAGAUGGACCCGCGUCUGAUUAGCCAGUUGGCAGGGUAAAAGCCUACCAAAGCAACGAUCAGUAGCCGAUCUGAGAGGAUGACCGGCCACAUUGGGACCGAGACACGGCCCAAACUCCUACGGGAGGCAGCAGUGGGGAAUAUUGCACAAUGGGGGAAACCCUGAUGCAGCGACGCCGCGUGAGUGAAGAAGUAUUUCGGUAUGUAAAGCUCUAUCAGCAGGGAAGAUAAUGACAGUACCUGACUAAGAAGCCCCGGCUAACUACGUGCCAGCAGCCGCGGUAAUACGUAGGGGGCAAGCGUUAUCCGGAUUUACUGGGUGUAAAGGGAGCGUAGACGGAGUGGCAAGUCUGAAGUGAAAACCCUGGGCUCAACCUGGGGACUGCUUUGGAAACUGUUAAUCUAGAGUGUUGGAGAGGUAAGUGGAAUUCCUGGUGUAGCGGUGAAAUGCGUAGAUAUCAGGAAGAACACCGGAGGCGAAGGCGGCUUACUGGACAAUAACUGACGUUGAGGCUCGAAAGCGUGGGGAUCAAACAGGAUUAGAUACCCUGGUAGUCCACGCUGUAAA